RNAcentral lists this ribosomal RNA (485 nucleotides) under Lysinibacillus sp. SA_27. RNAcentral's name for it is "bacterial SSU rRNA". It matches the Rfam family "Bacterial small subunit ribosomal RNA", at positions 56 to 523 of the family's 1533-position model. The record is from RNAcentral. Lineage: Bacteria; Bacillati; Bacillota; Bacilli; Caryophanales; Bacillaceae.
UGCAGUCGAGCGAACAGAAAAGGAGCUUGCUCCUUUGACGUUAGCGGCGGACGGGUGAGUAACACGUGGGCAACCUACCCUAUAGUUUGGGAUAACUCCGGGAAACCGGGGCUAAUACCGAAUAAUCUCUUUUGCUUCAUGGUGAAAGACUGAAAGACGGUUUCGGCUGUCGCUAUAGGAUGGGCCCGCGGCGCAUUAGCUAGUUGGUGAGGUAACGGCUCACCAAGGCGACGAUGCGUAGCCGACCUGAGAGGGUGAUCGGCCACACUGGGACUGAGACACGGCCCAGACUCCUACGGGAGGCAGCAGUAGGGAAUCUUCCACAAUGGGCGAAAGCCUGAUGGAGCAACGCCGCGUGAGUGAAGAAGGUUUUCGGAUCGUAAAACUCUGUUGUAAGGGAAGAACAAGUACAGUAGUAACUGGCUGUACCUUGACGGUACCUUAUUAGAAAGCCACGGCUAACUACGUGCCAGCCGCCGCGGUAA